Phascolarctos cinereus (koala) is the source of this 578-nucleotide non-coding RNA. The record is from RefSeq and is a predicted model, not a curated record. NCBI's taxonomy places the organism in Eukaryota, Metazoa, Chordata, Mammalia, Diprotodontia, Phascolarctidae.
AUCCACAUCUUCAUGCUAAGCAGUAAAAAUAGCACUGGAGUUGCAGGCAGAGGAAACAUGGGUUCAAGUCCUUACUUUGGGAACCCUGAACAAUGAAAGUACCAAGCAAGAAUGCUGAGGUGACAUCUUUCCAGAGACUAGCAGAAAGCAGAGUUCUGCUACUGGUGAAGUCAUUUCCCAAGCCUGGCUUCCUGACAGUCAGCAAAACUUGAGUGUGAGGAGCUGGCUGCAAAAAGGGUCACAUUCAUCCCUCGGGUUUUCCACCUCCUUCCUCUCCUGCUUCCCUUUUCCAGGAUCAGCCACAGUGAGGAAUCAUUCCACAUGCCUAAGAUGGUCUUGAUUCAGUCUUCACUGGGACUGAAUAGAGUUGGAGUCAGGUUCUGGAUAAGAUACCUUAUUCCCAUCAAGUAUCCAUUAUCCGAGGAAAGGAUUGGAACUCAGUCCAAAUCUUUGUAGAGAAAACCAACAUGCUAUAGUGAAAGCAGAUGUCCUGAGCUUGGAAUCAUGAAAGCCUUAAGUUCAAAUACAGUCUGCCUCUGACAUUUACCUGCUAUAUGACCUUGGGCAUAUCACUUAAA